Molecule: ribosomal RNA, 1484 nt
Filed under: uncultured rumen bacterium
Lineage: Bacteria
Description: bacterial SSU rRNA
Rfam family: Bacterial small subunit ribosomal RNA
Source: RNAcentral
AGAGUUUGAUCAUGGCUCAGGAUGAACGCUAGCUACAGGCUUAACACAUGCAAGUCGAGGGGUAACGUGAGGGAAGCUUGCUUCCCUUGACGACGACCGGCGAAUGGGUGAGUAACGCGUAUCCAACCUGCCGCACGCCCGGGAACAGCCCUUGGAAACGAGGAUUAAAUCCCGAUACCUUAUCGUUCCGCAUGGAGUGAUAAGAAAACAGGCAUGCGAUGGGGAUGCGUCUGAUUAGCUUGUUGGCGGGGUAACGGCCCACCAAGGCGACGAUCAGUAGGGGUUCUGAGAGGAAGGUCCCCCACAUUGGAACUGAGACACGGUCCAAACUCCUACGGGAGGCAGCAGUGAGGAAUAUUGGUCAAUGGGCGAGAGCCUGAACCAGCCAAGUAGCGUGAAGGAUGACUGCCCUACGGGUUGUAAACUUCUUUUGUCCAGGAAUAAAAAAUCCCUCGUGAGGGGUCUUGCAGGUACUGGUUGAAUAAGGACCGGCUAAUUCCGUGCCAGCAGCCGCGGUAAUACGGAAGGUCCGAGCGUUAUCCGGAUUUAUUGGGUUUAAAGGGUGCGUAGGCGGGGAAGCAAGUCAGCCGUAAAAUUGUUGAGCUCAACUCAAUCCCGCGGUUGAAACUGCCUCCCUUGAGUACACUAGAGGGCGAUGGAAUUCGUGGUGUAGCGGUGAAAUGCAUAGAUAUCACGAAGAACUCCGAUUGCGUAGGCAGUCGCCUGGGGUGCCACUGACGCUGAGGCACGAAGGUGCGGGUAUCAAACAGGAUUAGAUACCCUGGUAGUCCGCACAGUAAACUAUGGAUGCUCGCGGUGCGCAAAUUGUUGUACGCCGCCAAGGGAAACCGUUAAGCAUCCCACCUGGGGAGUACGCCGGCAACGGUGAAACUCAAAGGAAUUGACGGGGGCCCGCACAAGCGGAGGAACAUGUGGUUUAAUUCGAUGAUACGCGAGGAACCUUACCCGGGCUUGAAAUGUACUCGACAGGACUCAGAGACGAGUCCCUCCUUCGGGCGAGUAUGUAGGUGCUGCAUGGUUGUCGUCAGCUCGUGCCGUGAGGUGUCGGCUUAAGUGCCAUAACGAGCGCAACCCUUCCCGCCGGUUACCAUCAUUCAGUUGGGGACUCCGGCGGCACUGCCAUCGCAAGAUGUGAGGAAGGCGGGGAUGACGUCAAAUCAGCACGGCCCUUACGUCCGGGGCCACACACGUGUUACAAUGGGGGGCACAGAGAGCUGGAUGCCGGCGACGGCAUUCGAAUCAUUAAAUCCCCUCCCAGUUCGGACUGGAGUCUGCAACCCGACUCCACGAAGCUGGAUUCGCUAGUAAUCGCGCAUCAGCCAUGGCGCGGUGAAUACGUUCCCGGGCCUUGUACACACCGCCCGUCAAGCCAUGAAAGUCGGGGGCGCCUGAAGCCCGUUGCCGCAAGGCGCGGUCUAGGGCGAUACCGGUAAUUGGGGCUAAGUCGUAACAAGGUAACCGUA